GACGAACGCUGGCGGCGUGCUUAACACAUGCAAGUCGAACGGAAAGGCCCUGCUUUUGUGGGGUGCUCGAGUGGCGAACGGGUGAGUAACACGUGAGUAACCUGCCCUUGACUUUGGGAUAACUUCAGGAAACUGGGGCUAAUACCGGAUAGGAGCUCCUGCUGCAUGGUGGGGGUUGGAAAGUUUCGGCGGUUGGGGAUGGACUCGCGGCUUAUCAGCUUGUUGGUGGGGUAGUGGCUUACCAAGGCUUUGACGGGUAGCCGGCCUGAGAGGGUGGCCGGCCACAUUGGGACUGAGAUACGGCCCAGACUCCUACGGGGGACAGCAGUGGGGAAUAUUGCACAAUGGGCGGAAGCCUGAUGCAGCAACGCCGCGUGCGGGAUGACGGCCUUCGGGUUGUAAACCGCUUUCGCCUGUGACGAAGCGUGAGUGACGGUAAUGGGUAAAGAAGCACCGGCUAACUACGUG
RNAcentral lists this ribosomal RNA (468 nucleotides) under uncultured bacterium. Its description in RNAcentral is "partial 16S ribosomal RNA". It matches the Rfam family "Bacterial small subunit ribosomal RNA", at positions 28 to 507 of the family's 1533-position model. The record is from RNAcentral.